GAUGAACGCUGGCGGCGUGCCUAAUACAUGCAAGUCGAGCGAACAGACGAGGAGCUUGCUCCUUCUACGUUAGCGGCGGACGGGUGAGUAACACAUAUGUAACCUACCUAUAAGACUGGGAUAACGUCGGGAAACCGGAGCUAAUACCGGAUAAUAUUUCGAACCGCAUGGUUCGAUAGUGAAAGAGGGCUUUGCUAUCACUUAUAGAUGGACCUGCGCCGGAUUAGCUAGUUGGUAAGGUAACGGCUUACCAAGGCAACGAUACGUAGCCGACCUGAGAGGGUGAUCGGCCACACUGGAACUGAGACACGGUCCAGACUCCUACGGGAGGCAGCAGUGGGGAAUUUUGCGCAAUGGGCGAAAGCCUGACCGAGCAAUGCCGCGUGAGUGAAGAAGGUCUUCGGAUUGUAAAACUCUGUUAUUAGGGAAGAACAAACGUGUAAGUAACUGUGCCCGUCUUGACGGUACCUACUCAGAAAGCCACGGCUAACUACGUG
Molecule: ribosomal RNA, 497 nt
Filed under: uncultured bacterium
Lineage: Bacteria
Description: partial 16S ribosomal RNA
Rfam family: Bacterial small subunit ribosomal RNA
Source: RNAcentral